RNAcentral lists this ribosomal RNA (403 nucleotides) under uncultured bacterium. RNAcentral's name for it is "bacterial SSU rRNA". It matches the Rfam family "Bacterial small subunit ribosomal RNA", at positions 355 to 775 of the family's 1533-position model. The record is from RNAcentral.
UGGGGAAUCUUGCGCAAUGGGCGAAAGCCUGACGCAGCCAUGCCGCGUGAAUGAUGAAGGUCUUAGGAUUGUAAAAUUCUUUUAGCAGGGACGAUAAUGACGGUACCUGCAGAAAAAGCCCCGGCUAACUUCGUGCCAGCAGCCGCGGUAAUACGAAGGGGGCUAGCGUUGCUCGGAAUUACUGGGCGUAAAGGGAGCGUAGGCGGGUUAUCAAGUUGGGGGUGAAAGCCCGGGGCUCAACCUCGGAAUUGCCUUCAAAACUGAUAACCUGGAGUAUGGAAGAGGUAAGUGGAACUCCGAGUGUAGAGGUGAAAUUCGUAGAUAUUCGGAAGAACACCAGUGGCGAAGGCGACUUACUGGUCCAUUACUGACGCUGAGGCUCGAAAGCGUGGGGAGCAAACAG